Molecule: ribosomal RNA, 466 nt
Filed under: uncultured bacterium
Lineage: Bacteria
Description: partial 16S ribosomal RNA
Rfam family: Bacterial small subunit ribosomal RNA
Source: RNAcentral
ACGCACGCUGGCGGCGUGCUUAACACAUGCAAGUCGAACGGAAAGGCCUCUUUCGGGGGGUACUCGAGUGGCGAACGGGUGAGUAACACGUGAGUAACCUGCCCUUGACUUUGGGAUAACUUCAGGAAACUGGGGCUAAUACCGGAUAGGAGCUCCUGCUGCAUGGUGGGGGUUGGAAAGUUUCGGCGGUUGGGGAUGGACUCGCGGCUUAUCAGCUUGUUGGUGGGGUAGUGGCUUACCAAGGCUUUGACGGGUAGCCGGCCUGAGAGGGUGACCGGCCACAUUGGGACUGAGAUACGGCCCAGACUCCGACGGGAGGCAGCAGUGGGGAAUAUUGCACAAUGGGUGGAAGCCUGAUGCAGCAACGCCGUGUGCGGGAUGACGGCCUUCGGGUUGUAAACCGCUUUCGCUCAUGACGAAGCUUUGUGUGACGGUAGUGGGUAAAGAAGCACCGGCUAACUACGUG